CCUACGGGUGGCAGCAGUGAGGAAUAUUGGUCAAUGGGCGGAAGCCUGAACCAGCCAAGUAGCGUGCAGGAUGACGGCCCUACGGGUUGUAAACUGCUUUUGUACAGGGGUAAAAUGCUCCACGUGUAGCGGUUUGUAAGUACGGUACGAAUAAGGAUCGGCUAACUCCGUGCCAGCAGCCGCGGUAAUACGGAGGAUCCGAGCGUUAUCCGGAUUCAUUGGGUUUAAAGGGUGCGUAGGUGGGUUGUUAAGUUAGCUGUGAAAUACUGAGGCUCAACCGCCGCAUUGCAUUUGAAACUGUUCGCCUGGAGUGUAGUUGAGGUAGGCGGAAUGUGUGGUGUAGCGGUGAAAUGCUUAGAGAUCACGAAGAACCCCGAUUGCGAAGGCAGCUUACCAAGCUGCUACUGACGUUGAGGCUCGAAAGUGUGGGUAUCAAACAGGAUUAGAUACCCCGGUAGUC
This 460-nucleotide ribosomal RNA is filed under the name uncultured bacterium. RNAcentral describes it as "partial 16S ribosomal RNA". It matches the Rfam family "Bacterial small subunit ribosomal RNA", at positions 338 to 795 of the family's 1533-position model. The record is from RNAcentral.